This is a non-coding RNA of Acanthosepion pharaonis, 112 nucleotides long. Lineage: Eukaryota; Metazoa; Mollusca; Cephalopoda; Sepiida; Sepiidae. The record is from the annotation of a GenBank genome assembly.
UACGGCCACAUUACGUUUAAACACCAGUUCCUGUAUGAUCACCGAAGUUAAGCAAUAUCGAGCUUGCUCAGUACAUACAUGGGUGACUGCUUGGGGAUAGCAGGUGUUGGAG